Molecule: ribosomal RNA, 325 nt
Filed under: uncultured Nitrospirota bacterium
Lineage: Bacteria; Pseudomonadati; Nitrospirota
Description: bacterial SSU rRNA
Rfam family: Bacterial small subunit ribosomal RNA
Source: RNAcentral
AGCGAACGUUGGCGGCGUGCCUAACACAUGCAAGUCGAACGCGUCUCGGGGGGCAACUCCCGAGAUGAGUGGCAAACGGGUGAGUAACACGUGGGUAAUCUUCCCUCGAGUGUGGAAUAAGCUCGCGAAAGCGGGUCUAAUACCGCAUGAAGCUUUGGGGCAUAUGCCUUCAGAGUCAAAGCCGUAAGGCGCUUGAGGAUGAGCCUGCGUCCUAUUAGCUAGUUGGUAGGGUAAAAGCCUACCAAGGUUAUAAUGGGUAGCCGGCCUGAGAGGGUGUACGGCCACACUGGGACUGAGACACGGCCCAGACUCCUACGGGAGGCAG